This 368-nucleotide ribosomal RNA is filed under the name uncultured organism. RNAcentral's name for it is "bacterial SSU rRNA". It matches the Rfam family "Bacterial small subunit ribosomal RNA", at positions 526 to 896 of the family's 1533-position model. The record is from RNAcentral.
CGGAGGGUGCAAGCGUUAUCCGGAUUCACUGGGUUUAAAGGGUGCGUAGGUGGGUAAGUAAGUCAGUGGUGAAAUCUCCGGGCUUAACCCGGAAACUGCCAUUGAUACUAUUUGCCUUGAAUACUGUGGAGGUCAGCGGAAUAUGUCAUGUAGCGGUGAAAUGCUUAGAUAUGACAUAGAACACCAAUUGCGAAGGCAGCUGGCUACACAAAUAUUGUCACUGAGGCACGAAAGCGUGGGGAUCAAACAGGAUUAGAUACCCUGGUAGUCCACGCCCUAAACUAUGGAUACUCGACAUUUGCGAUAAACUGCAAGUGUCUGAGCGAAAGCAUUAAGUAUCCCACCUGGGAAGUACGAUCGCAAGAUUG